UCGGCUCCGGUUCACGCCUCCGCAACCCGCGGCUGCGACCCGGCGCC
Regulatory RNA element from Streptomyces cyaneogriseus subsp. noncyanogenus, 47 nucleotides. It matches the Rfam family "L31-Actinobacteria ribosomal protein leader". The record is from Rfam. Lineage: Bacteria; Bacillati; Actinomycetota; Actinomycetes; Kitasatosporales; Streptomycetaceae.